GACGAACGCUGGCGGCGUGCCUAACACAUGCAAGUCGAACGGAGUAAAACGCUGAUUUGAUGGAAGCUUAGCUUCUGGAUUUUCUGUUUUGCUUAGUGGCGGACGGGUGAGUAACGCGUGAGUAACCUGCCUUACAGAGGGGGGACAACAGUUGGAAACGACUGCUAAUACCGCAUGAUGUAUGACCGAGGCAUCUCGGACAUACCAAAGGAGCAAUCCGCUGUAAGAUGGACUCGCGUCCAAUUAGACUAGUUGGUGGGGUAACGGCCCACCAAGUCGACGAUUGGUAGCCGGACUGAGAGGUUNAACGGCCACAUUGGGACCUGAGACACGGCCCAGACUCCUACGGGAGCAGCAGUGGGGGAUAUUGCACAAUGGGGGAAACCCUGAUGCAGCAACGCCGCGUGAGGGAA
RNAcentral lists this ribosomal RNA (413 nucleotides) under uncultured bacterium. RNAcentral's name for it is "bacterial SSU rRNA". It matches the Rfam family "Bacterial small subunit ribosomal RNA", at positions 28 to 409 of the family's 1533-position model. The record is from RNAcentral.